GACGAACGCUGGCGGCGUGCUUAACACAUGCAAGUCGAGCGAGACCCCGCUUUCGGGUGGGUGUUCUAGCGGCGAACAGGUGAGUAACACGUGGGCAACCUGCCCUCAGCUCUGGGAUAACUCCAAGAAAUUGGGGCUAAUACCGGAUAUGACCGCUGACCGCAUGGUCUGGUGGUGGAAAGAUUUAUCGGCUGGGGAUGGGGCCGCGGCCUAUCAGCUUGUUGGUGGGGUAGUGGCCUACCAAGGCGACGACGGGUAGCCGGCCUGAGAGGGGGACCGGCCACACGGGGACUGAGACACGGCCCAGACUCCUACGGGAGGCAGCAGUGGGGAAUAUUGCGCAAUGGGCGAAAGCCUGACGCAGCGACGCCGCGUGGGGGAUGACGGCCUUCGGGUUGUAAACCUCUUUCAGCAGGGACGAAGCGAAAGUGACGGUACCUGCAGAAGAAGCACCGGCCAACUACGUGCCAGCCGCCGCGGUAA
Molecule: ribosomal RNA, 483 nt
Filed under: uncultured bacterium
Lineage: Bacteria
Description: partial 16S ribosomal RNA
Rfam family: Bacterial small subunit ribosomal RNA
Source: RNAcentral